This is a non-coding RNA of Chrysemys picta bellii (western painted turtle), 1311 nucleotides long. Lineage: Eukaryota; Metazoa; Chordata; Testudines; Emydidae. The record is from RefSeq and is a predicted model, not a curated record.
CAGUAAAUCACUGAUAUGGUCUCUGCCAGGAAAUACCCAGACCUUUACCCUAUUAGAAGCCUAACUUUCUUAUCCUUUUCACAUGCACGAAAAAAAUCUCUAGGCAGGAAAGGUCACAGCUAAAUCUCAACUGCUUCAUUGUGUGUGCCACGCGCGCAGCGUCAAAAAUUCUGCAUUCUCUUCCCAGUUGCAUCACUCACUCACUGUGUGAGCGAGUAAGUCACUAAGCAUUCAACUGCCCUAGUGAUGGAUGCUAUAAAAAAGUUUUAGCUAUAACAUGGGGAUAAAGAUGUCUUCACAGGCCGUGUGAGGCUUAGUUAAUGUUUGCAAAGUGCUUUAGGCUCCUCAGAUGGCAUGUGCUCAGGAAAGGCAAAGGAUCAUUUUUAACAUAGAAAGCUUUUCCCUUCAACUUUAUUCAUCACAAGUGAUUUCCAAAUGCUCAUUCUAUUUCCUAGCAUGCAUCUGGUUCUGCAUAACAUCAUUUCAAACCACACAUAUCUAACAAGAGAUAAGGAUGAAGUCAUCCGAGUGCUAUCAACUGUGGGAAAAGAAGCAGAAUAUGCCAUGAGGUUAUCCUAAUCAUUUACAAAAAUAAACUGCUGUGGUAUGUGAAUUGGUUGUGCCAGACUGAGCCAAUGGUGCAUCCCGUGUGUAUCUAUGUGUUAGUUGAAUGAAGGGGCAAGAAUUAAGUCCUUGAAAUGUAAUCUUGCUUGGGCAGUUUCUAAAGCAAAAUGUAGCGUAUCUGGCCAAGCCUUCUUGGAGACAAUUCACUGCAGUUCUUUGUGCAACACUACUGGCAAGAAGCUAUCAGGCUUGUGGAUUAGUGCUGUCCAUAUUAAUCGCAAGGGUCUCCUUACAUGAUAGUGAAGAUGUGGAACUUUCCUCUGUGUUCACUGUAGUAGAUGAUGAUUUGUUCUGCUUGUUUCUGUUUUUUCACAAGUGACAGAUAGAUCCUGAGUAGAAUUGAAGAAUUUAGAAUUUGUUACUUUUUAGCCAGAUAUUUAACAUAUUGGAAUUUCAGAAUAGGAAAGUAUGGGUUGUUGACAAGUCAAGCUUAUAAUUAUAAAAUUACAGUGAAGCACCAGUCAGUCUUUUCAGCUGGGUCUCUUUCCUGCUUAUCAUCUUUUUCUGGUACCUCAAGAAAGCAGUGUUUGGUGGGGAGUGGAAAUCUACAAGGUCCAACUCCUACGUGCUUGCAUUGGUCCCACAAUCAUCCUUGCCCUUCUGAGACUCUCCACCCUUCUGUCAUGUCAUGUGGAUAAAUGACUCAUUCUAUUUGUGAUCUGCUGAGCUGAUUGACAGCUAGUCAAG